Molecule: ribosomal RNA, 484 nt
Filed under: uncultured bacterium
Lineage: Bacteria
Description: partial 16S ribosomal RNA
Rfam family: Bacterial small subunit ribosomal RNA
Source: RNAcentral
AUUGAACGCUGGCGGCAGGCCUAACACAUGCAAGUCGAGCGGAUGAAGGGAGCUUGCUCCUGGAUUCAGCGGCGGACGGGUGGGUAAUGCCUAUGAAUCUGCCUGGUAGUGGGGGAUAACGUCCGGAAACGGGCGCUAAUACCGCAUACGACCUGAGGGAGAAAGUGGGGGAUCUUCGGACGGCACGCUAUCAGAUGAGCCUAGGUCGGAUUAGCGAGUUGGUGGGGUAAAGGCCUACCAAGGCGACGAUCCGUAACUGGUCUGAGAGGAUGACCAGUCACACUGGAACUGAGACACGGUCCAGACUCCUACGGGGGGCAGCAGUGGGGAAUAUUGCACGAUGGGCGAAAGCCUGAUCCAGCCAUGCCGCGUGUGUGAUGAAGGUCUUCGGAUUGUAAAGCACUUUAAGUUGGGAGGAAGGACAGUAAGUUAAUACCUUGCUGUUUUGACGUUACCAACAGAAUAAGCACCGGCUAACUUCGUG